RNAcentral lists this ribosomal RNA (252 nucleotides) under uncultured bacterium. RNAcentral describes it as "partial 16S ribosomal RNA". It matches the Rfam family "Bacterial small subunit ribosomal RNA", at positions 524 to 776 of the family's 1533-position model. The record is from RNAcentral.
UACGGAGGAUGCGAGCGUUAUCCGGAUUUAUUGGGUUUAAAGGGUGCGUAGGCGGGAUGCCAAGUCAGCGGUAAAAACGCGGUGCUCAACGCCGUCGAGCCGUUGAAACUGGGUGCCUUGAGUGGGCGAGAAGUACGCGGAAUGCGUGGUGUAGCGGUGAAAUGCAUAGAUAUCACGCAGAACUCCGAUUGCGAAGGCAGCGUACCGGCGCCCAACUGACGCUGAAGCACGAAGGCGUGGGUAUCGAACAGG